This 295-nucleotide ribosomal RNA is filed under the name uncultured bacterium. RNAcentral's name for it is "partial 16S ribosomal RNA". It matches the Rfam family "Bacterial small subunit ribosomal RNA", at positions 775 to 1067 of the family's 1533-position model. The record is from RNAcentral.
GGAUUAGAUACCCUGGUAGUCCACGCCGUAAACGAUGAUAACUAGCUGUCCGGGCACUUGGUGCUUGGGUGGCGCAGCUAACGCAUUAAGUUAUCCGCCUGGGGAGUACGGCCGCAAGGUUAAAACUCAAAGGAAUUGACGGGGGCCUGCACAAGCGGUGGAGCAUGUGGUUUAAUUCGAAGCAACGCGCAGAACCUUACCAGCGUUUGACAUGGUAGGACGACUUCCAGAGAUGGAUUUCUUCCCUUCGGGGACCUACACACAGGUGCUGCAUGGCUGUCGUCAGCUCGUGCCG